CAGCAUGUUUCCAGGGUCUAUGGCUGUUUGUGGCCCUGGGAUCUCCAACCACAUACCAACUGGAGGGACUUGGACAGCCCAGGUCAGCACAGUGCCUGUAGAUGCCACUCAGUUUUCCUGUAUAU
Cricetulus griseus (Chinese hamster) is the source of this 125-nucleotide small nucleolar RNA. Ensembl annotates it as small nucleolar RNA SNORA44. The record is from Ensembl. Lineage: Eukaryota; Metazoa; Chordata; Mammalia; Rodentia; Cricetidae.